GAGUACUACUCAUAUUCUCUGCAACUUGAGAUUUCUGAACAGUGAAAUGAUAUGAUGGAAAACGUGUUGUAGAACUUUUAGGAAGAUUAAUCUAUCAAUAGUAAGCAAGAUGGAGAGUAAAGAGAAGUAUCUGAGACGAAUGAUAAUUCAAUUGAAGUAAUUCAGAUGAGAAGUGACAAGAGCCUGAACAGAAAUGGAAAGAAAUGGGAAGUUGUAAGAGGCACUGAAAUGGAAAAAUCACUGAUUGGAUAUGGAACAUUAAGAAAGGAGAAAAAGAAGUGUUCUAUAAGAAGUUUGGACAAGACUCUGCAAGAAGUUAAGAGCAGGUCCUUAAAGGCAACUGUGAAUUAACGGAGACUAGUUUUGAGAAAAUCAGUCCUGAUUUGUUUCUCCUGGAGUUUUCUUCUUUAUGUGAUCCUUCAUAAAAGCUGCUAAUAUGGGAAAGAUUGAAAUCAGCAAGUUUCUGGCUGUAAGCUAAAAGAGGCUCUUGAAUCAUAUUUCCGCCUGCUUAGCAAAUUUCUCUUGCGACAAUUGGAUGUUAUUUGGGGUUCCAUACUAGCAGGAAGAAGUACAAGCAAAGCUAAGUCAUUUUGAGAAUAAAUAUUAUCUCUCUAUAUAUUUGUAAAUGUUAUUUUCUUUUUUUUUGAGGUUUAUGAUUGAUCCUUGGCAUGUGUCCCCUUGUGUAUUGCUCUACUAAAAAUAGCCUAAAAAAGAAUUUUCCCCUCGAUGUGGAGCUUCUCUUUAGUUACAAUUCUACUUUCUCCUUCACUUGAGUAUCAGUCUUCAGAGAACUACCAUAACAAAGGAGUGGAUACAGAUAUACGCAAAAAAGUCUAUGAGAAAAUUAGUACAUUAAAUUUGUGAAAGCUCAUUUAAAGUAAUUUUCUACUAACAAUUUUAAUCAAAUGUAUUAAUCAUAUUUCUAUGCUUAGUGAUGUUAAAUAAAAAUUUAAAAGGUGGCAAUCAAUAAACAGAGAUAAAAGCUUCUCAAGAAUAAAUGAAAGGAAGUAAUAAAAAGACUCACUAAGCUGAAUUGCCUCCUAUCAACAGCAGCUGAUAAAAUAUUAAAAGAUUUGCCUUGUGUAAUGUCUCUGGAGAGCUGUCUUACUGAUGUACGAGGCCAUGAUUGACAACUUUGAGACUUUGCUGGAAGCGACAAAAGUAUAUCUAUAAUAUUAUGCUGAAUUGCAUAGGUCUUUCUUCUUAAAUGAGGCUAGAAAUAACAUACCACCAAGUGUUUGGCUUUUAGGAAAUUGAGCAUUUUCUUUAGUUCUAGCUGCAGUUUAAUUUCCUCAGAAUUAGACAUUAUGCGGUAUCUGGAACGUUAAAAAAAAAAAAAAGCAAAAA
Long non-coding RNA from Homo sapiens (human), 1347 nucleotides. Ensembl annotates it as long intergenic non-protein coding RNA 1473. Lineage: Eukaryota; Metazoa; Chordata; Mammalia; Primates; Hominidae. The record is from Ensembl.